UGUGGGAGCGAGCCUGCUCGCGAUAGCGGUGUGUCAGGAACCUGUGCAUUAACUGACACACCACUAUCGCGAGCAGGCUCGCUCCCACA
RNAcentral lists this unclassified non-coding RNA (89 nucleotides) under Pseudomonas mediterranea. Lineage: Bacteria; Pseudomonadati; Pseudomonadota; Gammaproteobacteria; Pseudomonadales; Pseudomonadaceae. The record is from RNAcentral.